CAACGGUCAAUGAUGAAGGAGGCCGCGGCGAGGCGGCAGGCUCGAGUGCGUCGGGCUUGGGCUGCACCGAGGCGGCGUCUGUGAGAGGAGGACCUCCGGGCGAAGCGCGGCGGCAUGGGGACGAGACGUGACGAGUGAGGCGGCCGGCGGAACUUCCAGCCCGUGGGCUCGCCUGUUCCGCUGGCGGCUCGACGUCGUCCCCCGUCUGCGGCCGCUCGGCCCCUACAGGCCGCGACGGCGACGGCGACGGCGACGGCGGGGGCAUGUGGCGCUGGGUCCGGCAGCAGCUGGGGUUUGACCCACCACAUCUAAGUGACACAAGAACUAUUUACAUAGCCAACAGAUUUCCUCAAAAUGGACUUUACACACCUCAGAAAUUUAUAGACAACCGGAUUGUUUCAUCUAAGUAUACUGUGUGGAAUUUUAUUCCAAAAAAUUUAUUUGAACAAUUUCGAAGAGUGGCAAACUUUUAUUUCCUUAUUAUAUUUUUGGUUCAGCUUAUGAUUGAUACACCUACCAGUCCAAUUACCAGUGGACUUCCAUUAUUCUUUGUGAUAACAGUAACUGCCAUAAAACAGGGGUAUGAAGAUUGGUUACGACAUAACUCAGAUAAUGAAGUAAAUGGAGCUCCUGUUUAUGUUGUUCGAAGUGGCGGCCUUGUAAAAACUAGAUCGAAAAACAUUCGGGUGGGUGACAUUGUUCGAAUAGCCAAAGAUGAAACUUUCCCUGCAGAUCUGGUGCUUCUGUCCUCAGACCGACCUGAUGGUUCAUGUCAUGUGACAACUGCUAGUUUGGAUGGUGAAACGAACCUGAAGACACAUGUGUCAGUUCCAGAAACAGCAGUAUUACAAACAGUUGCCAACUUGGACAGUCUUAUAGCUGUGAUAGAAUGCCAGCAGCCGGAAGCAGACUUGUACAGAUUCAUGGGACGGAUGAUAAUAACUCAACAAAUGGAAGAAAUUGUAAGACCUCUGGGACCAGAGAGUCUCUUGCUUCGUGGAGCCAGAUUAAAGAACACAAAGGAAAUUUUUGGUGUUGCUAUAUACACUGGAAUGGAAACUAAGAUGGCAUUAAAUUACAAGAGCAAGUCUCAGAAACGAUCUGCAGUAGAAAAAUCAAUGAACACAUUUUUGAUAAUUUAUUUAAUAAUCCUUAUUUCUGAAGCCAUCAUCAGUACGAUCUUGAAAUACACCUGGAAAGCUGAAGAAAAAUGGGAUGAACCUUGGUAUAACCAAAAAACAGAACAUCAGAGAAAUAGUAGCAAGAUUCUGAGAUUUAUUUCUGAUUUCCUUGCCUUUUUGGUACUAUACAAUUUCAUCAUUCCAAUUUCAUUAUACGUGACAGUGGAAAUGCAGAAAUUUCUUGGAUCAUUUUUUAUUGGCUGGGAUCUUGAUCUCUAUCAUGAAGAGUCAGAUCAGAAAGCUCAGGUCAAUACUUCUGACCUGAAUGAAGAGCUUGGGCAGGUGGAGUAUGUGUUUACAGAUAAAACUGGAACACUGACAGAAAAUGAGAUGCAGUUUCGGGAGUGUUCAAUCAAUGGCAUGAAAUACCAAGAAAUCAAUGGUAGACUUGUACCUGAAGGACCAACCCCAGACUCUUCAGAAGGAACCGCACCUUACCUGAGUAGUUUAUCCCAUCUUAGCACAUCCCAUCUUACAACCAGUACUUCUUUUAGAACCAGUCCUGAAAAUGAGACUGAACUAAUUAAAGAACACGAUCUCUUCUUUAAAGCAGCCAGUCUCUGUCAUACUGUACAGAUCAGUAAUGUUCAAACUGACGGCAUUGGUGAUGGUCCCUGGCAGGCCAGCCUGGCGCCCACACAGCUAGAGUACUAUGCUUCUUCACCAGACGAAAAGGCACUGGUGGAAGCAGCUGCAAGAGUUGGCAUUGUAUUUAUUGGCCAUUCUGAGGAAACUAUGGAAGUUAAAAUACUUGGAAAACUGGAAAGGUACAAGUUGCUUCAUCUUCUGGAAUUUGAUUCAGAUCGUAGAAGAAUGAGUGUAAUUGUUCAGUCACCUUCAGGUGAGAAGCUUCUAUUUGCUAAAGGAGCUGAAUCCUCAAUUCUCCCCAAAUGUAUAGGUGGAGAAAUAGAAAAAACCAGAAUUCAUGUAGAUGAAUUUGCUUUGAAAGGACUACGAACUUUGUGUAUAGCCUAUAGACAGUUUACAUCUAAGGAAUAUGAAGAAAUAAAUAGGCGUCUGUUUGAAGCCAGGACAGCCUUGCAGCAACGGGAAGAGAAGUUAGCUAACGUCUUCCAGUUCAUAGAGAAAGAUUUGGUAUUACUGGGAGCCACUGCAGUGGAAGAUAAACUACAGGAUAAAGUUCGAGAAACUAUUGAAGCACUGAGAAUGGCUGGUAUCAAAGUAUGGGUACUUACUGGAGAUAAACAUGAAACAGCUGUUAGUGUGAGUUUGUCAUGUGGACAUUUUCAUAGAACCAUGAACAUCCUUGAACUUAUAAACCAGAAAUCAGACAAUGAAUGUGCUGAACAAUUGAGGCAGCUUGCCAGGAGAAUUACAGAGGAUCAUGUGAUUCAGCAUGGGCUGGUAGUGGAUGGGACCAGCCUAUCUCUUGCACUCAGGGAACAUGAAAAGCUAUUUAUGGAAGUUUGCAAAAAUUGCUCUGCUGUAUUAUGUUGUCGUAUGGCACCACUGCAGAAAGCAAAAGUAAUAAGACUGAUAAAAAUUUCACCUGAGAAACCAAUAACGUUGGCUGUUGGUGAUGGUGCUAAUGAUGUGAGCAUGAUACAAGAAGCACAUGUUGGCAUAGGAAUCCUGGGAAAAGAAGGAAGACAAGCUGCAAGAAACAGUGACUAUGCAAUAGCUAGAUUUAAGUUCCUCUCCAAAUUGCUUUUUGUUCAUGGACAUUUUUAUUACAUUAGAAUAGCUACCCUUGUACAGUAUUUUUUUUAUAAGAAUGUGUGUUUUAUCACACCCCAGUUUUUAUAUCAGUUCUACUGUUUGUUUUCUCAACAAACACUGUAUGACAGUGUGUACCUGACUUUAUACAACAUUUGUUUUACUUCUCUACCUGUUCUCAUCUAUAGUCUUUUGGAACAGCAUAUAGAUCCUCAUGUGUUACAGAGCAAGCCCACCCUCUAUCGGGACAUUAGUAAAAACCAUCUCUUAAGCAUUAAGACAUUUCUUUAUUGGACCGUCUUGGGUUUCAGUCAUGCCUUUAUUUUCUUUUUUGGAUCCUAUUUUUUGAUGGGAAAAGAUAUAUCUCUGCUUGGAAAUGGUCAGAUGUUUGGAAACUGGACAUUUGGCACUUUGGUUUUCACAGUAAUGCUCAUUACUGUUACAGUAAAGAUGGCUUUGGAAACUCAUUUUUGGACUUGGAUCAACCAUCUUGUUACCUGGGGAUCUAUUAUAUUUUAUUUUAUAUUUUCUUUGUUUUAUGGUGGGAUUCUCUGGCCAUUUUUGAGCUCCCAGAAUAUGUACUUUGUAUUUAUUCAGCUCCUAUCAAGUGGUUCAGCUUGGUUUGCCAUAAUCCUUAUGGUUGUCACUUGUCUAUUUCUUGAUGUUGUGAAGAAGGUAUUUGACCGACAUCUCCAUCCUACAAGUACUGAAAAGGCACAGAUGUACUCCAACACAGUCGCUUUAAGUGACGAGUUCAUCGCACUGCAGCCUUUGUCGAGGGCAAGGAAUCAGCUGAGCAAACUUAGCUUACUGAAGCAAAUUCAGGUCUCAAGUGUUUGGACUCCAUGUGCUGUUUCCCAGAAGGAGAGACAGUGUGCACAUCUGUUGGAAGAAUGCUGGAACGGUUUAUAGGGAGGUGUAGUCCCACCCACAUCAGCAGGUGUGACAUUUCUCUAAGUAGCUUCUGCUGCAGAUGAGUGUCCUGUCUUGAACAACACAAGCCUGCAGCUAUCGUGGAGUGCAUUGGAUCCUUUCUAUACCAACGACAGGAGCAUCUUGACUCUCUCCACAAUGGACUCAUCUACUUGUUAAAGGGCAGUAGUGUUUUGUGGGAGCAAGCUCACCUUUCCUCAUUCUCAUUCAGGGUGAUCGUCCUGUAAAUGACCACAGUGGCUCUGAGAUUAUUUUCUGAAAUCUCUGGAGUAGUUUAUGCCCAUCAGUUACAAAGGCAGACAGACAGAAAACAUGUACACACACCCUUUGUUUUCCUUAAUUUGAAUCUAAGCAUAAAAUUUGUGAAUAAAGAGAUAAUUUCAAUCUCUUUUGGGUUAACCUUUUACUUAGGGGACUCCUAAUGGCAUUCAGCCUAUUGCUGAGGCCCUAUAUUUUUAAUACCAUGGUAGAAAAAUGAAUUAAGUCUUAGUUACAUGUAUUUUUUUAGGAUUAGUGUGGUUAGUGACUCUUCUGUUUAAAUCGUUCAGUAAGAGCACUUGCUGCUUAAGCAUGAGGGCCUACGACCACUCAAGUUCAAUCCCGAGCACCCAUAUAAAAUAAAUAAUAGUUUCUGUAAAUUAUGUUGACGAUUUGCCUUGAGAACUCUAUUUUUUUAUUAGAGUUAUAUUUGAAACUUUUCAUGGGAAAAGUUAAUGUGAAUAUUAAGGACUUUGGUCCCUCAGUGACCUAUGUUGUUAAUUCAUUUGUGCUUUUUAAGUUCACAGAGAAAAUCAGGAGAGUGCAUUUUCAAGCAUUAUUUUCUGCAGUAUUGGUCAUAGUUCAUACCAAUAGCAAGUUUCCCUAGCAACACUGUAAUUCCACAGUGAGUUCGCCAUGUUUAAGUGCAGAGGGUAUGUCACCUUGUAUGUAUAAAUCAGCGGUCAGGUCCAUUCACCAGACGUCAAGUUGAUGUUUACUAAUAUUUUUGUGACAAAAUACAGAGUACCUACAGUGGGUAAAUUAGAUACCAUUAUCAUAUUAAUAAAAUGUCUUUAUUAUUGGAUCUUUUGCAUGCUUCAUCCUGGCUAGUAUAUUUAAAGUUUCUUUUUUUCUCUCCUUAUCCAAAGACUCUGUUUACUUAUAAUUAUUUUAUGACGAUGUUGUAAAGUCAACUAUAUCAAUAAAAACAAGUUUGGACAGUA
Molecule: RNA transcript, 4993 nt
Organism: Jaculus jaculus (lesser Egyptian jerboa)
Lineage: Eukaryota; Metazoa; Chordata; Mammalia; Rodentia; Dipodidae
Gene: Atp11b
Gene name: ATPase phospholipid transporting 11B (putative)
Exons: 31
Source: RefSeq, a predicted model, not a curated record